UACGGAGGGGGCUAGCGUUAUUCGGAAUUACUGGGCGUAAAGCGCACGUAGGCGGAUAAGAAAGUCAGAGGUGAAAUCCCAGGGCUCAACCUUGGAACUGCCUUUGAAACUCCUUGUCUUGAGGUCGUGAGAGGUGAGUGGAAUUCCGAGUGUAGAGGUGAAAUUCGUAGAUAUUCGGAGGAACACCAGUGGCGAAGGCGGCUCACUGGCACGAUACUGACGCUGAGGUGCGAAAGCGUGGGGAGCAAACAGG
RNAcentral lists this ribosomal RNA (253 nucleotides) under uncultured bacterium. Its description in RNAcentral is "partial 16S ribosomal RNA". It matches the Rfam family "Bacterial small subunit ribosomal RNA", at positions 524 to 776 of the family's 1533-position model. The record is from RNAcentral.